UCCCACUCAACAGGAUUUCGUAUCUACUUCAUGUACAACGCCCCCAAUUUACACGUCGAUUGAUAGUACAUCACUCAUGGUAGGUGCCGAAACGGAACUAGAACCUUAAUCGCUGAUUUAAGAGGUCACCGUGUCUUUGAUUAGGUUUUAGAUGUGAGUUGGAUUUUGUUUCUAGUUAGUCACCGUAUAUGGAGGGCGAAAGUUAUCGGCGGGACGCCACGCAACGAAUUCAAGUCGUGGAAUUGUAUUGUACAUGAUCAGUUUUGUGAAUGUCAUUGUUCUACCAGGUCCUGAGACCUUAAACUAACCUAUUCCUUGUGAGGACCUUUUAUUAACCCUCUGCAUUAUGGUGUGAUGCUAUGGUUUUUUAGAGCUUAAUUUACACAAUGAUUGUAAGAAGAGAAUAAAUGCGGAGGAAAAUCAACCGCAUGCUUGAGCUGCAACUCUGCAGGCUUUGGGUAAUUCCUUAUCUUGCAGUUUCGAUGGUGUUGUGAAUUCCAUGGCAGAUUCAACGUCUGCGUGUCGAAGAGGACUGUCCCUGGCGUUGGUUGGGCUGCGAUUGUUCAACCAACGGAUGAUGUCGUUGAAC
Molecule: long non-coding RNA, 589 nt
Filed under: Physcomitrium patens
Lineage: Eukaryota; Viridiplantae; Streptophyta; Bryopsida; Funariales; Funariaceae
Description: long non-coding RNA (PPAT_LNC006856)
Source: RNAcentral